UAUUAAACUUAUAACUUUAUGGGAGUGGGACAGAAAUGAUAAAGAGCCACUAAUGAUUUAUUAUGUAGUGGUUCUUAAACAUUAGCCACAGCUAAUGUGUACUUAAAAAUAGGAAUACAUGAGUAAAACUCAUGCAUAAGAAAUACUAAUUUCUAUAGAAAAAGUAUUACUUUAUCGUUGUCCCACCCCAACUUGCACAUUAUUGUAAGCUGACUUUCCGCCAGCUUCUGUGUUGGGGCCCCGCCAACUUGCACAUUAUUGUAAGCUGACUUUUCGUCAGCUUCUGUGUUGGGGCCCCGCCAACUUGCACAUUAUUGUAAGCUGACUUUUCGUCAGCUUCUGUGUUGGGGCCCCGCCAACUUGCAUUGUCUGUAGAAAUUGGGAAUCCAAUUUCUCUAUGUUGGGGCCCACACCCCAACUCGCAUUGCCUGUAGAAUUUCUUUUCGAAAUUCUCUGUGUUGGGGCCC
This 467-nucleotide small nuclear RNA is filed under the name Staphylococcus aureus subsp. aureus NCTC 8325. Its description in RNAcentral is "SAOUHSCs264". The stretch from base 333 to 467 matches the Rfam family "Staphylococcus sRNA 35 (srn_0335)", at positions 1 to 177 of the family's 270-position model. The record is from RNAcentral. Lineage: Bacteria; Bacillati; Bacillota; Bacilli; Caryophanales; Staphylococcaceae.